UCAAGAAACUUCACAGAAUCCCACAGGAAAGAAAACAGGAACUCGCUGGAAUGCUCAUAACUUGCAAAGUGAAUUGCUCGGGCUUUAUGUUUUUUUUUGACGAGGCCUCCCGACUCCCUAAAGAGCUCCCAGAAUGGAACAAUGGAGUUAAAGCGCCACAAAAAGUACAGCCCGUCCUCCCUCAGAUUCCAAAUGUUCUGGAGCAUUCCAUGUGAAGUGAGAGUACUUAAUUCGCUUACUCCGUUCAUCCUCAAGCUAUUGACGAUGUAUAUGAGGAUCAGUUAUGAGCGUCGUGGUGAAUUCUGCCUGCACAGACAAACGGAGGACCCAGGAUCUGGGCAUCAUUGGCAAAUCCAGUACUUGCUGCCAAUCCCUAGUUGCCUUUGAACAGAGUGGCUGCCUCAGCCAUUUCAGAGGGCACUUAACUGUCAACCACAUUGCUGUGGGUCUGGAGUCACAUGUAGACCAGACCAGAUAAUGCCUGACUUGUUCUUUCCAGCACUUCCUGCUUUUAUCACAGCACUUACCUGCAUAAGUGAAGAGGCACUGAGGGUAACUACUUGACCCAGACAAGGACAAGACUGACAAGUUGCUCUAGGCAAGAUGGAGCAAUGAUGUGUUGACCGUAUUAAUAAAGGCAUUAAACAUUAUUGCAUUCAGUACUGUGACGUCUGUAAUGGGCCUCCUCACCUUGAUGAGAAUAAGUAAAUAUUGAGGACCACAGGAAAAGUCUAAUCAGAGGAAAGAGUUAUUGGAAUAUGUAUGAAUGCUACAAGGAAGAAAGUUUGCAGCAAACCAAAGUUCGCACUGACUUAUGUAGCACUCGCAAAUCACAGCCGAAGUGAAGUGCCUAGGAGAAAUGUACAUAAAAGGACUCCAGAUGUGCAUUCUGGAAAACUUUUGAAUUACAUGCUGAGGAGAAUGUUCUGUCAAUGAGAUAGAAGUCUGAAAGAGGACAGACAUAUUCUCAGCCCAAGGGUAAAGCAAGAAACUGAAUAAUAUCAAAUACUGGUGCCCAAAUACUGGCUAUAUGCUGUACACCAGAAAUAUGAAACACUGUUGAUGUGCUACAUAUGAGGAUGUACAAACACUGUCAAUGUACUGUUCACUCAAAAUUUCUAAACACCGGUGAUGUGUUUAACACUAAUGAUGUCCAGUUAUGGACAGAGGAGAGAUAAAUUAAAGGAUUUACUUUUUUGCUUUCU
Stegostoma tigrinum is the source of this 1205-nucleotide long non-coding RNA. RefSeq lists it as uncharacterized. Lineage: Eukaryota; Metazoa; Chordata; Chondrichthyes; Orectolobiformes; Stegostomatidae. The transcript is spliced from 4 exons. The record is from RefSeq and is a predicted model, not a curated record.